UGCCUGCUCAAAGCUCGGUGCAGCCCUGUGCCUUGCUGCCUGCUGUGGAUCUCGGAUCAGCUGUGGUGUGGCACUGCUUCGAGGGAGGGCUCAGCUCUGAUCUCAAGCAACAAGAUUGGUGGAGAUAAAGAAGAGCUUCCAAGAGAGUGAAGAGCAUGAAUAAGAAUGUGUUUCGAGAACUCACUGACACAUCCAUUCAAAGGCUGCAGGUCUUGGAGUGCCAAAGUGUUGGCACGCUGCUCUCCUUAAGAGCCUGUGUGAGAAACCGGGCCCGGAGGCUGUGGUAGGGGUGUAGGGGAGGCUGCUGAGAUGACGUGUGAGGGCUGGACACAGACAGCCCUGGGGUGAAGGAGAGGUGUCUUGGGGGAGUGAAAGAAACAUGAGAAUUAUGACUAGGGAUGACUGGAAAGUGAGAUAGCUUGCAUGGGUACAGUACAGAAGUAAUGAGUGGCAUGUUCACAGGGUAGGUCUGUGAUUGGGACUCUAGUGGAUAUAAAAGUCGUAUGGAUAAACCUAUCAUGUAGAAGUAGCCCUUGGCCAGGGUCAGUGCAAGACCCACUAACUGACCCUUCCGGGCUCCAGAGGCAAGGCACACAGUAAUGCAGGGAGGCUGAGCCACGUGCAAGAAAUGUGGUAGUAAAGAGGAGCCCGUGAAGUAGACUCAGAUGGAGUGCUCAGAUGGAGGUGGUCUUUCAAAUCCUGCCUUCCUAGGAAAGCUGGAAAAUGUGGUGAUGGAGGCAUCAGUGAUGCCCUUUCUGAUACUAGUCCCAAGACUCUGUUACUUGAAAAUUCACUAAUAGAGAGAUGGGAGAUAACAUCAAACUCUGAAUGCUGCACAGGAACAAAUCUUCCUUCCCAAGACUGCCAGUCCAGGAACCCAAACUUCUGUGAGUUCAGGUGGGGAAAAAUAUCUUAAAUAGGUCAUAUAUUUAUUGUCACCACUGUACGCCUGUAGAACUCUGUAGAACCACAGGCACCAGGCAGACGGGAAACAUGAAGAGUAUAUGACCUUCUUGCAGGUAUGUCACAGGGAAACAGGAAAUAGGACAGAGCUGCUGUGCUCAAAAUUUGCUGUGAAAGAAGACAA
This 1087-nucleotide long non-coding RNA is filed under the name Gallus gallus (chicken). RNAcentral describes it as "lncRNA (ENSGALG00010014384.1)". Lineage: Eukaryota; Metazoa; Chordata; Aves; Galliformes; Phasianidae. The record is from RNAcentral.